RNAcentral lists this ribosomal RNA (468 nucleotides) under uncultured bacterium. RNAcentral describes it as "bacterial SSU rRNA". It matches the Rfam family "Bacterial small subunit ribosomal RNA", at positions 330 to 798 of the family's 1533-position model. The record is from RNAcentral.
CCCAGACUCCUACGGGAGGCAGCAGUGAGGAAUAUUGGUCAAUGGGCGAGAGCCUGAACCAGCCAAGUCGCGUGAGGGAAGACGGUCCUAUGGAUUGUAAACCUCUUUUGCCGGGGAGCAAAAAGCGGUACGUGUACCGCAUCGAGAGUACCCGGAGAAAAAGCAUCGGCUAACUCCGUGCCAGCAGCCGCGGUAAUACGGAGGAUGCGAGCGUUAUCCGGAUUUAUUGGGUGUAAAGGGCGUGUAGGCGGGAGUGCAAGUCAGAUGUGAAAACCACGGGCUCAACCUGUGGCCUGCAUUUGAAACUGUGCUUCUUGAGUACUGGAGAGGCAGACGGAAUUCCUAGUGUAGCGGUGAAAUGCGUAGAUAUUAGGAGGAACACCAGUGGCGAAGGCGGUCUGCUGGACAGCAACUGACGCUGAGGCGCGAAAGCGUGGGGAGCAAACAGGAUUAGAUACCCGAGUACAA